ACAGAUGGCUGUUCCAUUCUGGGAGCCAGCACUGAAAGCCACAUGGAAUCCAGUCCAGACUGAAAAGCUGAAGAUGAUGUCGUCCAGCAGAGCAAAGAUGAAACCAAGGAUUGGCAGAGUGCAAAGCCAUUAGGGUCAUUCAUCUUUCCCUAACCGCUCGUCAGUGCCUCAACAGUCGCACUCCCCCACCCCCCACCCCACUCCCAAACAAAAACUGAUGGGUCAGUGGUUUCUUGCAGGGGAGCUGUUGGCUUGCACAGAGUGUUGCUAACCACUUUGGGCUAAAAUAUGGUGGAGGGUGAUGGGACCCUGGGAACCAGACCCCUGUCAAUGUCCUGAGGAGGGGCCAGAAGAUGGAAAGCACUCAUGGGCAUAGGCCCGUUUGAGGGAGGGCCACAUACCUGCUUGCUGUAGCUGCCAAUCACUACCAUUGGUGUUUUUCACAGGGUAUUCUCACUUCCCCGUAACCACAGGACUCCUUUGGAAAAAUACUGGGAUAAACCUGACAUUAACCAUCAACAGCAACCACAGAGAGGAAGGUGCACUCUGUUCCUUUUCCCUGCCACGAAUUUGAGCCCUGACUGACACCAGUAGCACUGGGAUCCAGAACAGUGAUCCUGAGUGAGGCACCCGAACCCAGCCUGAGAUAGAGUGAGCUGCACAUCCUCGAGAUUUAUGUUCACUCAUUACACACUUGCCUGCUGUUGGCACUGCGCCCAAUACACCAAAUGGAUGGCACCUCUCUGAUCAAACAUGGCUGUAAAUUAGCUGCAGAAUCUCGCAGGAUAAGGGAAGGCCAUUUAGUUCAACAUUGCUGUCCAUGCUCAUUAAGAAAGCUCUCCAAUGUUUCCCAUUGCCUGCAGCUCUUCCUCAUGUGCCUGUGAUUCUUUUCCAUUCCACUAUUUCUCCAGUUCCCCUUUUUGAGUGGUCCUGUUGAAUCAGCUUCCUCUGCCCUCUCCUGGCAGCAAGCUCCAGAUCACAAGGACUCACUGCGUCAAAAUUCAGCUGUUUUAUUGAGAAGAACAUAAAAGUGAUCGCUUGUAAGAAAUCCAUGAAUUUUGGAUCAUUCCUUUGCUGGGGGGGAGUUGGGGGGUGAGUGAGUCUGGGUGUGAAUCCCCAUGUUGAGGUGCAGCACAAUCAGGAUGUGACGUUGGAAAUGGUCCACGUUCUCGCUGACUCCCACAGUCAGUAGGUAUGGAUGGCAAUGGCUGUAUUUGGGAGUAGCUCAGAAACACAUUGUGAAUAUUUCCAUCCGUGACAUUUGGUCAGCUCUUACACAAUCAAAUAGACCGAACCUGCCCCCCAACCCACCCACUCAAUACAAGCCCCACCCAGGCAAUAGAACCUCCCUCACUCCACUUCAUCGGAAGUGUGCAUCCAAUCUGUGGUCCUGUUCCAGUCUUCUGGAAGAUCACAAGUGACUAAAUACUUGGCAGUCCCUGUCUGUGCCAUUUACUGGUACACACUCAUGGUCAUCUUCAUCUUCAUCUCACUCUGAGGAAGAACCUGUCUAGGCCAAACUGAAGGCUCUCAUUGUCUUUGUGACUCAGUUCUUGAGGUGCUUAUCCGGUUGGAUUCUGCACCUGGAGGUUAGCAGUUAUGCAGCAGGAGAUAACACCGCAGUUCUACAGGAGCGAAACCAACUUGCGAUGCCCAGCUUGUCCCUGCAUUUUCCUGGGUGUCUUCGACCAGAUCCAGGGAUUGAUGGGGUGGCCAUGAUUUAUAAUAAGGUUCUUUAGGCUCUCUUAUAUUGUUCAGCAUCUAAUGUUCUACUUUGCCGACCUACCUAUCUGCUGUAUUUUAUUAGCCUGUUUAAAGCUAAGAUCUAGUGUUUAUGCAAAACCCUGAGCUUCCAGGAACUUGAUCGUCACCUGCAGGUAAGAUGACCCAAGGUGAUGGAGGAAUCAGUGCUCUCCGCACUCACUUCCUCAUCCAACCCAACCCUCCACAUCCUCCAGGCCUACCUUCCUCCUCUUCCAACCCACCCACCUCACCUCAAUCCAACCUCCAUACCAACCCACCCUCCUCAUCCAACCCAACCUCUUCUUCAUCUGACAACCCACCCUCCACCUCCCGCUGGCCUACCCUCCUCCUCACCAAACUCACCCUGUCUCCUCAACCCAACCUCCUCAAUCCGACACAGCCUGAUCCUCAUCUCAGCAGCUAUACAAACGUCAGGAGAGCUUCACCUUCAUCUGCCUUUCAUGCCCUGACCCUAACCACGACCCUCACCCUGAGGCUGACUCUAACCAUAACACUGACCCUAACCAUGGCCCUGACCCUGACCCUAACCAUACCCUGACUCUAACCCUGACCCUAAUCAUGAUCCCUGACCCUAACUACGAUCCUGACCCUAACCACGACCCUGACCCUAACCAUGACACUGACUGUUAUUCUAACCCUGACCCUAACCAUGGCCCUGACCCUAACCAUGGCCCUGACUCUAACCAUGACCCUGACUGUAACCAUGACCCUGACCCUAACUACGAUCCUGACCCUGACUCUAACCCUGACCCUGACUCUAACCCUGACCCUGACUCUAACCCUGACCCUGACUCUAACGCUGACCCUAACCAUGGCCCUGACCCUAACCAUGACCCUGACCCUGACCCUAACCCAACUUUUCCCUUCCUUUCUCAGGAUUUUGUUAAUUUUGGGCUAUUUCUAUGAUGAAUUGUUGAGUAAUUAUUAUUAAUGUGUGGCCACUGAGAUUCCAUGUGGCUUUAUCCCGAACGCUGGAGCCCAAUGCAAAUCCAAAUCCAAAUCCAAGAAUCUUGAGAAGGGUUUUUUUUAAAAUUUCCUGGUUGGAUCAUUGUUUGAAAUAGUGAACUGCAUUGCUUCAAUCAAUCUACAGUGAGAGAAAGUUUGACUGUCAAUAACACAGCAACAAUCCUGCAUAUUCCCAUCCUGCGCACCCCGAACUUGUGUAAUGUGCAUGAAUGAUGAUUGUCUUGUUAACCAGUUAUUGCCAACUAUUUUUCCACACCUCGUGACUUUAUCCAGUACUUUAUCUCGCCAACUCGCUUGAUGGGCACUACAUGCCUGUAUUCGCCUUCCUUCGCUGUUCCUAAACAGCCACCAUCUGCUCCUUUGGAGGUAACUGGGGGACUGAUUGCUAAGGCACCGUCCCCCUGGAGGAGGGUCUGCUGUAGCUGAGGUUUUCUCUGCACCCCAGCUUCAGGGUCACUGAGGGGGAGUGGGGCUGACGGUGACUAACUGGGAGAACUAAAGCUGACUGUAGGAUUUGUGCCAGUCCCUCAGCACCUUCCAAUUCAACACACCUUGGAACUGGAUAGUGUAGGCGUGAGAAAUUGUGCCAGUUUUCGAAAUGAAAAGUCUGAAACAAAAACUAGCAAAUGAGCUGUUGGAUUGCCAUAAAAAACCUAUCUGGUUCACCAAUGUCCUUUAGGGAAGGAAAUCCUUACCCAAUCAGGGCCUAUAUGUGACUCCAGACCCACAGCAAUGGGGCUGAUUUUGAGCAGCCCCUCUGUAGUGACAUAGCAAACCCAUCUGAUUAGACAGCACAUUGGCAGUGACCCCCCAGCCUUGGCACAAACGGAGUGUGGCCACCAUCACAAGCUCCUGGUAACUGCACAAUGACCUUUGGAGUGGUUUGUAAAUGUCUGAGGCUUUACACCAUGAUGCUUCCAUCCUUCAGGAAUGUUUGGAGCAGGACCAUGGAGAUGGAGCCAGUGGAUGGCCUUACCCUGUGGCUCUGUUGUAGUUUCAGCAGAUUCAGUGAUUGUGUUCAAACGUCAGGCUAAGCCCAUACUCUCGGUCACCAUGCUACAGGGUGCUGUCUGGUGUGGUUACUGUCUUGUUCAAUCACCUCAUCAAUCAGCAGGAUGGAGCCACUGUUUUCUCAGACACAAGCAGCACCCUGAACACUAGAGCCAGCCGCUGUGCGGUUUAUUCCUGCAGCUACAGGGGCCUGAAUGGCCGGUAGAUGGUGAUCCAGAGGAAGCAGUAUACUAGCCCUGUCCAAGUUCCACACUGAGUGCGAGAGAGCUCAUGCUCUUAUGUUUAUCUUCCUGGAUUGAUAGUCUUUUUGUUUCUGAUAGGGAUCUGUAUUGAGCUAUGAAGAGGUUGGCAAUUUUUUGUAACUGCCCAUGUUUGGCUUUAUGCUGAAGGUCAGGCUUUCUCCACUAGCUUCAGCGGGAGACUUUGGAUUGUCAAGGGAUAUUAGCUGGAACCUGUGCUUUCAGUAUAAACUUACUCCUGAAUGUCCCUCCGACAUAAGGCAGUCCAAUCACAAUCAGCAAAGACGGGAGAGUCACCUCAGGGAGAACAGCCAGUAGUCUGUAUAUUAGUCAGGAGGUACCUACAGCCAGCACUUUGUGUGUGUGAGAGAGCACAGAGUUACCUGUGGGCAGGUGUGUGUGUGAGAGAGAGCACGGAGUUACCUGUGGGCAGGUGUGUGUGUGAGAGAGCAUGGAGUUACCUGUGGGCAGGUGUGUGUGUGAGAGAGAGCACGGAGUUACCUGUGGGCAGGUGUGUGUGUGUGUGUGAGAGAGCACGGAGUUACCUGUGGGCAGGUGUGUGUGUGUGAGAGAGCACGGAGUUACCUGUGGGCAGGUGUGUGUGUGAGAGAGCAUGGAGUUACCUGUGGGCAGGUGUGUGUGUGAGAGAGAGCACGGAGUUACCUGUGGGCAGGUGUGUGUGUGUGUGAGAGAGAGCACGGAGUUACCUGUGGGCAGGUGUGUGUGAGUGAGAGAGCGUGGAGUUACCUGUGGGCAGGUGUGUGUGUGUGUGAGAGAGAGCACGGAGUUACCUGUGGGCAGGUGUGUGUGUGUGUGAGUGAGAGAGCGUGGAGUUACCUGUGGGCAGGUGUGUGUGUGUGUGUGUGUGAGAGAGCAUGGAGUUACCUGUGGGCAGGUGUGUAUGUGAGUGAGAGAGCACGGAGUUACCUGUGGGCAGGUGUGUGUGAGUGAGAGAGCACAGAGUUACCUGUGGGCAGGUGUGUGUGUGUGAGAGAGCACGGAGUUACCUGUGGGCAGGUGUGUGUGUGUGUGAGUGAGAGAGCGUGGAGUUACCUGUGGGCAGGUGUGUGUGUGUGUGUGUGUGAGAGAGCAUGGAGUUACCUGUGGGCAGGUGUGUGUGUGUGAGAGAGCAUGGAGUUACCUGUGGGCAGGUGUGUGUGUGAGUGAGAGAGCACGGAGUUACCUGUGGGCAGGUAUGUGUGAGUGAGAGAGCACAGAGUUACCUGUGGGCAGGUGUGUGUGUGUGAGAGAGCACGGAGUUACCUGUGGGCAGGUGUGUGUGUGUGUGUGUGUGUGUGUGUGUGUGUGUGUGUGUGUGUGUGUGUGAGAGAGAGCACGGAGUUACCUGUGGGCAGGUGUGUGUGUGAGAGAGAGCACGGAGUUA
This is a long non-coding RNA of Stegostoma tigrinum, 5364 nucleotides long. RefSeq lists it as uncharacterized. The record is from RefSeq and is a predicted model, not a curated record. NCBI's taxonomy places the organism in Eukaryota, Metazoa, Chordata, Chondrichthyes, Orectolobiformes, Stegostomatidae. The transcript is spliced from 3 exons.